This 500-nucleotide ribosomal RNA is filed under the name uncultured bacterium. RNAcentral describes it as "partial 16S ribosomal RNA". It matches the Rfam family "Bacterial small subunit ribosomal RNA", at positions 30 to 523 of the family's 1533-position model. The record is from RNAcentral.
AUUGAACGCUGGCGGCAUGCCUUACACAUGCAAGUCGAACGGCAGCACGGGAGCAAUCCUGGUGGCGAGUGGCGAACGGGUGAGUAAAGUAUCGGAACGUGCCCAGUCGUGGGGGAUAACGUAGCGAAAGUUACGCUAAUACCGCAUACGAUCUAUGGAUGAAAGCGGGGGAUCGCGAGACCUCGCGCGAUUGGAGCGGCCGAUAUCAGAUUAGGUAGUUGGUGGGGUAAAGGCUCACCAAGCCGACGAUCUGUAGCUGGUCUGAGAGGACGACCAGCCACACUGGGACUGAGACACGGCCCAGACUCCUACGGGAGGCAGCAGUGGGGAAUUUUGGACAAUGGGCGAAAGCCUGAUCCAGCCAUGCCGCGUGCAGGAUGAAGGCCUUCGGGUUGUAAACUGCUUUUGUACGGAACGAAAAGGUUUGGCCUAAUAAGCUGAGCUCAUGACGGUACCGUAAGAAUAAGCACCGGCUAACUACGUGCCAGCAGCCGCGGUAA